ACCUUCUCAGGGUCGCACCUGGAGAGUUUCCAGUCCUUUACCAGUCCCUACUGUGGGAGGGAGAGUCAGGCAGAGGCAUAUCCAUUCCAUUCCUAGCUUGGCCAGUGGCUAAUGAGUGGAAGGCAAUCUGCUACAAAU
This is a small nucleolar RNA of Ornithorhynchus anatinus (platypus), 138 nucleotides long. NCBI's taxonomy places the organism in Eukaryota, Metazoa, Chordata, Mammalia, Monotremata, Ornithorhynchidae. The record is from RefSeq and is a predicted model, not a curated record.